UGGGUUUCUUCUUUAGAUUCUUAACAUAGAAUACAUCUAGUGCGUUUUCAGUGUUGAAUCAAAAUCGGUCCAUAAAGUCAGAUGCCAUGUUCACCCAACUUGUCCAUUUCUUUUCAUCCUGGCCUGAUAUACCAUGAUAAAGCAUCGCCUUUCAGACUCCUCAUGAACAGUUUCAUGCGGAUUUUCUCAUCCCUUCCGACUCCUACCAGCGUAUCAAAAUAAGUUCUCAUGUGAACCCUGGGAUCAC
RNAcentral lists this long non-coding RNA (247 nucleotides) under Nicotiana benthamiana. RNAcentral's name for it is "long non-coding RNA (NBEN_LNC006827)". Lineage: Eukaryota; Viridiplantae; Streptophyta; Magnoliopsida; Solanales; Solanaceae. The record is from RNAcentral.